RNAcentral lists this ribosomal RNA (452 nucleotides) under uncultured soil bacterium. RNAcentral describes it as "bacterial SSU rRNA". It matches the Rfam family "Bacterial small subunit ribosomal RNA", at positions 26 to 517 of the family's 1533-position model. The record is from RNAcentral.
AGGACGAACGCUGGCGGCGUGCCUAAUGCAUGCAAGUCGCACGCAGCGAGCUUGCUCGCUGAGUGGCGCACGGCUGAGGAUCACGUGGGAACAUGCCUCCUUGUGGGGGACAACACCGCGAAAGCGGUGCUAAUCCCGCAUACGCUCGGCAACGAGGAAAGCGGCAACGCGCAGGGAGAGUGGCCCGCGGCCCACCAGGUCGUUGGUGGGGUAAUGGCCUACCAAGCCGGUGACGGGUAGCUGGUCUGUGAGGACAGACAGCCAGACUGGGACUGAGACACGGCCCAGACUCCUACGGGAGCAGCAGCAAGGAUUUUCGCAAUGGGCGCAAGCCUGAACGAGCAACGCCGCGUGGAGGAUGACGGCCUUCGGGUUGUAAACGUCCUUUUUCGGGGACGAGUGAUCGGACGGUACCCCGGAAUAAGGCUCGGCUAACUCUGUGCCAGCAGCCG